RNAcentral lists this ribosomal RNA (490 nucleotides) under uncultured bacterium. RNAcentral's name for it is "partial 16S ribosomal RNA". It matches the Rfam family "Bacterial small subunit ribosomal RNA", at positions 30 to 507 of the family's 1533-position model. The record is from RNAcentral.
AUCGAACGCUGGCGGCAGGCCUAACACAUGCAAGUCGAACGGUAACAGGAAGCAGCUUGCUGCUUCGCUGACGAGUGGCGGACGGGUGAGUCAUGUCUGGGAAACUGCCUGAUGGAGGGGGAUAACUACUGGAAACGGUAGCUAAUACCGCAUAACGUCGCAAGACCAAAGAGGGGGACCUUAUGGCCUCUUGCCAUCGGAUGUGCCCAGAUGGGAUUAGCUAGUAGGUGGGGUAACGGCUCACCUAGGCGACGAUCCCUAGAUGCUCUGAGAGGAUGACAAGCCACACUGGAACUGAGACACGGUCCAGACUCCUACGGGAGGCAGCAGUGGGGAAUAUUGCACAAUGGGCGCAAGCCUGAUGCAGCCAUGCCGCGUGUAUGAAGAAGGCCUUCGGGUUGUAAAGUACUUUCAGCGGGGAGGAAGGGAGUAAAGUUAAUACCUUUGCUCAUUGACGUUACCCGCAGAAGAAGCACCGGCUAACUCCGUG